Molecule: ribosomal RNA, 694 nt
Filed under: uncultured bacterium
Lineage: Bacteria
Description: bacterial SSU rRNA
Rfam family: Bacterial small subunit ribosomal RNA
Source: RNAcentral
UAACGCGUGGGUAACCUGCCUUGUACUGGGGGAUAGCAGCUGGAAACGGCUGGUAAUACCGCAUAAGCGCACAAUGUUGCAUGACAUGGUGUGAAAAACUCCGGUGGUAUAAGAUGGACCCGCGUCUGAUUAGCUAGUUGGUGAGAUAACAGCCCACCAAGGCGACGAUCAGUAGCCGACCUGAGAGGGUGACCGGCCACAUUGGGACUGAGACACGGCCCAGACUCCUACGGGAGGCAGCAGUGGGGAAUAUUGCACAAUGGAGGAAACUCUGAUGCAGCGACGCCGCGUGAGUGAAGAAGUAAUUCGUUAUGUAANNCUNUAUCAGCAGGGAAGAUAGUGACGGUACCUGACUAAGAAGCUCCGGCUAAAUACGUGCCAGCAGCCGCGGUAAUACGUAUGGAGCAAGCGUUAUCCGGAUUUACUGGGUGUAAAGGGAGUGUAGGUGGCCAUGCAAGUCAGAAGUGAAAAUCCGGGGCUCAACCCCGGAACUGCUUUUGAAACUGUAAGGNUAGAGUGCAGGAGGGGUAAGUGGAAUUCCUAGUGUAGCGGUGAAAUGCGUANAUAUUAGGAGGAACANCAGUNGCGAAGGCGGCUCACUGGACUGUAACUGANACUGAGGCUCGAAAGCGUGGGGAGCAAACAGGNUUAGAUNCCCUGGUAGUNCACGCUGUAAACGAUGAAUACUANGUGU